This 500-nucleotide ribosomal RNA is filed under the name uncultured bacterium. RNAcentral's name for it is "partial 16S ribosomal RNA". It matches the Rfam family "Bacterial small subunit ribosomal RNA", at positions 30 to 523 of the family's 1533-position model. The record is from RNAcentral.
AUUGAACGCUGGCGGAAUGCUUUACACAUGCAAGUCGAACGGCAGCACGGACUUCGGUCUGGUGGCGAGUGGCGAACGGGUGAGUAAUGUAUCGGAACGUGCCCAGUCGUGGGGGAUAACGUAGUGAAAAUUACGCUAAUACCGCAUACGAUCUAUGGAUGAAAGCGGGGGAUCGCAAGACCUCGCGCGAUUGGAGCGGCCGAUAUCAGAUUAGGUAGUUGGUGGGGUAAAGGCCCACCAAGCCAACGAUCUGUAGCUGGUCUGAGAGGACGACCAGCCAUACUGGAACUGAGACACGGUCCAGACUCCUACGGGAGGCAGCAGUGGGGAAUUUUGGACAAUGGGCGAAAGCCUGAUCCAGCCAUUCCGCGUGCAGGAUGAAGGCCCUCGGGUUGUAAACUGCUUCUGUACAGAACGAAAAGGUUUCUACAAAUACUAGGAGCUCAUGACGGUACUGUAAGAAUAAGCACCGGCUAACUACGUGCCAGCCGCCGCCGUAA